UGUUAAAAUUUCAUCCAUUUCUAUCAUUAAAAAUUGGUAUGGCUAACAAAUUAACCAGACAGUAGCAUGUGACAUACCAUGUGUACCUUAUGUUGACGUACAUUGUCCAAUUUGUAAUAAUAGAAAUUGAUGAAAUUUUUAACA
Gossypium raimondii (Peruvian cotton) is the source of this 144-nucleotide non-coding RNA. The record is from Rfam. NCBI's taxonomy places the organism in Eukaryota, Viridiplantae, Streptophyta, Magnoliopsida, Malvales, Malvaceae.